Molecule: long non-coding RNA, 424 nt
Filed under: Malus domestica (apple)
Lineage: Eukaryota; Viridiplantae; Streptophyta; Magnoliopsida; Rosales; Rosaceae
Description: long non-coding RNA (MDOM_LNC010493)
Source: RNAcentral
AAACUAGAUUAGUUUAACAUGUGAAAUGUCCGUAAAGUAUCAUCAUAUGAUUGGUUUUAGGGCACAUUUCCAAUAAUCUCCCACUUGCACUAGAGCCAAUCAGCUUGGUCAUCAGUGAUGAUACCUCUUCUGUAGUCAUUUCAUAAAUGGCUGAAUAGUAGGCCUCGACAAUGGAUAUCUAUAUGUUAUCCAUAGAAGCAACCUUGAGAAUAACGACGUCACCAUUAUACAUGAUUCUCAAUCAUGUGGUUCAGUCUCUCAUUUGAGUUCGGACCUUGAUGAGACCUUGAUUCCCAGGCUUGAGCUAUCGCCCCAUUAGUGUCAUAGUGUCAGUACACUAGAUACACUUUCAGGUUGGAACCGAAUAGAGAGUUCAUAAAUGAACUUUCCCAUCCAAACAACAUUGUUGUAAGCUUCUAUAUGG